GCGCACCAGGCGAGAAACCUUUACAAUGCACGAAAGUGCGAUAAGGGGAUCCCAAGUGCCAAUACUCUGUAUUGGCUUUUGCUGAGAGUAAAAAUCUCGGCGAAUAAGUGAUGGGUAAGACUGGUGCCAGCCGCCGCGGUAACACCAGCGUCACGAGUGGCGCCCACUUUUAUUGGGUCUAAAAGCGUCCGUAGCCGGGUCUGUAAAGUCCUCUGUGAAAAUCGUUAGGCCUAACCUAACGGAUAGCAGAGGAGACUGCCGACCUAGAGACCGGGAGGAGCCAGAGGUAUUUCCAGGUAGCGGUAAAAAUAGCGAUAAAUACCUGGGAGG
RNAcentral lists this ribosomal RNA (330 nucleotides) under uncultured microorganism. RNAcentral describes it as "bacterial SSU rRNA". It matches the Rfam family "Archaeal small subunit ribosomal RNA", at positions 330 to 655 of the family's 1478-position model. The record is from RNAcentral.